This 500-nucleotide ribosomal RNA is filed under the name uncultured candidate division MSBL1 archaeon. RNAcentral's name for it is "bacterial SSU rRNA". It matches the Rfam family "Archaeal small subunit ribosomal RNA", at positions 377 to 872 of the family's 1478-position model. Lineage: Archaea; Methanobacteriati; Methanobacteriota. The record is from RNAcentral.
GACUUCCAGUGCCGAUGGUCCAACGACCGUCGGCUUUUCUGAAGCGUAAAAAGCUUCAGGUAAUAAUGGCCGGGUAAGACUGGUGCCAGCCGCCGCGGUAACACCAGCGGCCCAAGUGGUAACCGAUUUUAUUGGGCCUAAAGCGUCUGUAGCCGGACUGGCAAGUCCCUUGUGAAAUCGAACGGCUUAACCGUUCGGCGUGCAAGGGAAACUGUCAGUCUUGGGGUUGGCAAGCGCCAAGGGUACUCCGGCGGUAGCGGUGAAAUGCUAUAAUCCCUGGGGGACCCCCAGUGGCGAAAGCGCUUGGCGAGGCCAAACCUGACGGUGAGGGACGAAGGCCAGUGGAGCAAACCGGAUUAGAUACCCGGGUAGUCCUGGCUGUAAAGGAUGUGGGCUAGGUGCCUGACGUUCCUCGAGAACGUUAGGUGCCGAAGGGAAGCCGUUAAGCUCACCGCCUGGGAAGUACGGCCGCAAGGCUGAAACUUAAAGGAAUUGGCGGG